UCAGGCCUAACACAUGCAAGUCGAGCGGAAACGAGUUAUCUGAACCUUCGGGGAACGAUAACGGCGUCGAGCGGCGGACGGGUGAGUAAUGCCUAGGAAAUUGCCCUGAUGUGGGGGAUAACCACUGGAAACGAUGGCUAAUACCGCAUGAUGCCUACGGGCCAAAGAGGGGGACCUUCGGGCCUCUCGCGUCAGGAUAUGUCUAGGUGGGAUUAGCUAGUUGGUGAGGUAAGGGCUCACCAAGGCGACGAUCCCUAGCUGGUCUGAGAGGAUGAUCAGCCACACUGGAACUGAGACACGGUCCAGACUCCUACGGGAGGCAGCAGUGGGGAAUAUUGCACAAUGGGCGCAAGCCUGAUGCAGCCAUGCCGCGUGUGUGAAGAAGGGCUUCGGGUUGUAAAGCACUUUCAGUCGUGAGGAAGGUAGUGUAGUUAAUAGCUGCAUUAUUUGACGUUAGCGACAGAAGAAGCACCGGCUAACUCCGUGCCAGCAGCCGCGGUAAUACGGAGGGUGCGAGCGUUAAUCGGAAUUACUGGGCGUAAAGCGCAUGCAGGUGGUUUGUUAAGUCAGAUGUGAAAGCCCGGGGCUCAACCUCGGAAUUGCAUUUGAAACUGGCAGACUAGAGUACUGUAGAGGGGGGUAGAAUUUCA
RNAcentral lists this ribosomal RNA (650 nucleotides) under uncultured bacterium. RNAcentral describes it as "bacterial SSU rRNA". It matches the Rfam family "Bacterial small subunit ribosomal RNA", at positions 42 to 671 of the family's 1533-position model. The record is from RNAcentral.